GUUUCACUCGCUUUGUAAAAGGGAUAAAAUAUUUUAAAAAAGUCAACAAAUAUAGAAUGGGGGUUGUAUUCGAUAAUCCUAACAUGGCUAAUUCAUUCUUGGACAAUGCUACUUUCCAUAGAGAACAUCGCAUCACUGCUUCUAUUCCGGCAGCGGUUACAGAAAUAACUGCAGGCCAAUUCUGCUAUUUGUUAACCGAAACAGAUCGGCUCCGUUUCGCCUUGGUUACAGUUGCGUUUGUAAUGUCAAACGGUAUUCCAGUAACUUUAAGUUGAUAGCUAAAGCGCAAAUGAAACGGAAGCGGUUGGUUAUAGAGUCGCUUAGGAAAGGGUUACGGUGUUGCAACUCAAAAAAAAAACAGUUGCGCGUACAUUGCUGCUUUUGUAAUAAAUUUCCAAGAUUUUUGGCUGUAUGAGUAUUUUGCUCAGUGUUUAAAAAGGUUACGCUUAGUUCGAAGUUGACAUUGACAAGUAUCAAGUUUGUUUUGCGGUUUGUUUUGAAUUCACGAAGCGGCAAGCGAAAAUUUUUAACAAAGUAAGUUUUUUUUUAUUAUUAUAAAUUAUAGUUAGUCACAACACAUUCAUACGUUCUACUGCUGAGACGGAUCUCUGUUCAUUCAAAGAGGUUUGGGCUAUAGGCCACCACCACAUAAACCGGCAAAUAAUAGAACUUAGAAUUUUAUCUUGUAAAAUCAUCAUAUCAAAUUUCGUUCGUAGAUAAAAUGUCACAAAACUCGUCUGCACUAGCUGGCGGUAGCAGAAGAAUAACUUCUGUAAGGCAGUUCGAGCUGUUAGUACAUUUUAUGGAGUGCCAUAAAGAUUUGGCACUUGGUCGUGUACACAGUAAAGAGGCACGGGCACUUGCUUCUCGCCUGUGGAACGAGUGUGCCACUAUUUGCAAUGCUGAGGGCACAUACAGAAAACCCAAGGAAUGGAGCCGUUACUGGAAUGAUUUUAAAAGCAGGGUGAAAUCAAAAUUGCUUACCAUAUGCCAAAGUGUGGGUGGGACUGGAGGAGGACCGGCUACAAAUAUCUGUUUGAGCCCUAUAGAGGAUAGAGUGGCAGCAAUAUUAGGACGAGAUGUUGUCACUCCAUUGCAGGGUGUUCAACAAAAUCCCUUUUUGUCUCAGGUAAUUUAUGUAUACAAUAAAUGUUGGUUUGUUAUGUUAGUUUAAGAGUUAUUUAUUAAGUUUUGAUUUUCACUGUAGAACACUAUUGCUGAUGAACAACAACCUCAAGAGUUGUUGAGUUAUAUGAGGGACAUCGAAAUUGAGUGAGUAAACUAACAUUGUUGUGACCUCUUUUGUGCCAGAGCUUUUUUUUGGCGGCUGGCAACACUGGAGAUUACUUGUCAAUUUGAUAGCUCCGUAUUUAAUAAUUGUAAAUAAAUAAUAAAAGCAAAUAAAUCUUUACAAUACAAAUAAUAAUUAAUAAUAACAAUUCAGUGAAUAUAUUUGUAGAUAUUUGUGUGCAAUAAUUAUAUGUAUUUUCACGACAAAUAGUGUUGAAAGUUAUCUUUGUGGUUACCGGUGUAUUUGUGUUUGUUGUGGAUUUCUUUCUAUUUUUACAAGGUAAUCACAGUCUAUUACAUCAUUUAAUACAAGUUAGAACACUAUUAUCUCGUUUUGCUGGACACUUAACUUACUUUGUCUUGAUACUUUCGAUAAAAUAUUUCUUAGUAGGUAGUUCGUAUUUAAGGUUAGGUCGGUUGGUUUACUGGCUCGAAAUUGGAAACAAAUCGUUCUUUCUGCUCCCUGUAUUAGUCCCUUUUUUGUUCAAAAUGUCUUCCUCAAGUCGUGCUGUGACAGCUCGUCAACUUGAAACUGAGUUAAAGGCAACUUUACUCAAACUGAAGACCGCGGAGGAGGAUAAGGAACGUUUAAUUUUGGAAAGGGAGGAGAACGAACACCUGUUCGUUUCUUUAUUAAAUAACAAUACUCAGCUAAAGCGUGAGUUGUCAGAAAGUAAAAUUUAUAGUGAUAGUUUGAAUGAGCAGCUUAACCACCUUGAGUUAGAGUUAGGAUCUUUCCGUCAAUCUACUGAGAUGUAUGAAGAUAUCCUCAUGCGGAACACUACACUAGAAAAAAGACUGGGAGAGGCACAAAGGCAAAUUGAUAGUUAUGAACAAGCUGUCCCACCGAUUCAGUCACUGGAAAUUAACAACCAAUAUAACCUCGUUGUUGUUGCGUCUGCCCCUCUCUCAUCUAACUCCCCAGCAAUAGCUUUUGCAAAUAAAUCAUCAUUAUGUAGUAAUUGUAAUAAUAAUAAAUGUAAUCAAAGAAUAAGUCAUAAGAAAUUUAAAAAACUUAAAAAGUUAAACAAGAUUAUAAAGAAAAAUAACUUACAGUUAAGAAUAAAUACUAAUAAAUCCCGUUUGUUGAAAUCUGGAUUCAAAAUGUUCAAUGAUGUUUCCUCUCAAUUAGCACUAACAGAAAGUAAAUUGGCGGAAAGUCAGGAGUUGUACUGUGCCGACAUAGCCAGACUGAAAUCUUACAUCACAGAACUUGAAGAGCGAUGCUCCAAUCUCAUGAAGACAAUUGAUUCAUCAUUGCAGGCAGUCACCGAACAUGUGAUUGAUAUGGAGUCAUUGAUUGAAGAAAAUAGGUAUAUUGGAGAGAAACUUCACUCUGCAAGUAACUUAUGUACCUGUGGCGCGUUUAACCAGCCCGAAAUCAGUGACUCCCUACCAACUCUCUCUCCAUGUGAAGGUGAUUUGCAUAAAUAUACUAGGCCUGGCUGUGCUGACGCGGAUGACUCUCAUAAUACUUUAAUAUUUUCUGAUAGUGUAGGGCGUAAUAUGGGUUACUUGUUCAACCAACACCUAGAGAAUGUUACAAAUUAUUGUCUGCCUAAUGCAUCCUACACCCAUAUAAUAGAGAGUAUCAGAGCGACUACUUUUAACAGAAACUCAACCAUAGUACUCCUUAUAGGUAACUGUAAUAAUUUAUGUAAAAAAGAUAUUAUUUGUGGUCUUGAUAGUUUGAAUAAGUUAAAUGUAUAUAAAGUUAUAAUUUGCGCCUUCCCAUAUCUUAGUUGCCAGCCUCCAUCAAAGAAUAAAAACAUUCACUAUUUUAAUAAUUUAACAUACUGCGACAUGUUGUCAUGAUAGUAAAUUAGUUUUCUUUGACACUAAUAAUUUAUUGGUGAAUGUUUAAUGACUAAAGAUAAGAAUAUUUAUCUCUCAAAGUUUCAUAGACGGAAACUUGCUACAUUGGUAGCUUAUACUGUAGGUGUAUUGUAUGCGUAUCUAUGUGUAUGUGUCUCGAGCGCAUUAUAAACUAUGUAUGCUAGAAAUAUGAGUCUUGUUACUGGUGCGGGCUUAGCGGCGUGACGUGCCGAAUAAAGUGCUAUCUAUUUUC
Plodia interpunctella (Indianmeal moth) is the source of this 3358-nucleotide long non-coding RNA. RefSeq lists it as uncharacterized. Lineage: Eukaryota; Metazoa; Arthropoda; Insecta; Lepidoptera; Pyralidae. The transcript is spliced from 2 exons. The record is from RefSeq and is a predicted model, not a curated record.